This 414-nucleotide ribosomal RNA is filed under the name uncultured microorganism. Its description in RNAcentral is "bacterial SSU rRNA". It matches the Rfam family "Bacterial small subunit ribosomal RNA", at positions 9 to 425 of the family's 1533-position model. The record is from RNAcentral.
GAGUUUGAUCGUGGCUCAGGACGAACGCUGGCGGCGUGCUUAACACAUGCAAGUCGAACGGUAAGGCUCCAGCUUGCUGGGGUACACGAGUGGCGAACGGGUGAGUAACACGUGGGUGACCUGCCCUGCACUUCGGGAUAAGCCUGGGAAACUGGGUCUAAUACCGGAUAGGACCGCACCGUGAGGGUGUGGUGGAAAGUUUUUUCGGUGUGGGAUGGGCCCGCGGCCUAUCAGCUUGUUGGUGGGGUAAUGGCCUACCAAGGCGGCGACGGGUAGCCGGCCUGAGAGGGUGGACGGCCACAUUGGGACUGAGACACGGCCCAGACUCCUACGGGAGGCAGCAGUGGGGAAUAUUGCACAAUGGGCGGAAGCCUGAUGCAGCGACGCCGCGUGGGGGAUGACGGCCUUCGGUUG